Molecule: ribosomal RNA, 468 nt
Filed under: uncultured bacterium
Lineage: Bacteria
Description: partial 16S ribosomal RNA
Rfam family: Bacterial small subunit ribosomal RNA
Source: RNAcentral
GACGAACGCUGGCGGCGUGCUUAACACAUGCAAGUCGAACGGAAAGGCCCUGGUUUUGUGGGGUGCUCGAGUGGCGAACGGGUGAGUAACACGUGAGUAACCUGCCCUUGACUUUGGGAUAACUUCAGUAAACUGGGGCUAAUACCGGAUAGGAGCUCCGGCUGCAUGGUGGGGGUUGGAAAGGUUCGGCGGUUGGGGAUGGACUCGCGGCUUAUCAGCUUGUUGGUGGGGUAGUGGCUUACCAAGGCUUUGACGGGUAGCCGGCCUGAGAGGGUGACAGGCCACAUUGGGACUGAGAUACGGCCCAGACUCCUACGGGAGGCAGCAGUGGGGAAUAUUGCACAAUGGGCGGAAGCCUGAUGCAGCAACGCCGCGUGCGGGAUGACGGCCUUCGGGUUGUAAACCGCUUUCGCCUGUGACGAAGCGUGAGUGACGGUAAUGGGUAAAGAAGCACCGGCUAACUACGUG